Vicia faba (fava bean) is the source of this 222-nucleotide non-coding RNA. NCBI's taxonomy places the organism in Eukaryota, Viridiplantae, Streptophyta, Magnoliopsida, Fabales, Fabaceae. The record is from the annotation of a GenBank genome assembly.
AUGAGUAUGCUGUUGGAUGAAGGGGCAAGACAGUUCGAGAAACUUGGGAAGACGAAAGUAAGGAAACAUCUUGCAUUUCUUGGUUGGACAUUUGAGUGGACCGGAGACAAUUGUUAUCAUAGUAGACGAUACCGGUACAUUUCACCGGAUAAGCAUGACCAGAAGUGUUACUCUUCAAAUUUUUCUAUUUGCUCAAGUUUUGCAAACAGCAGCCCAACAUGA